Molecule: long non-coding RNA, 893 nt
Filed under: Equus caballus (horse)
Lineage: Eukaryota; Metazoa; Chordata; Mammalia; Perissodactyla; Equidae
Description: lncRNA (ENSECAG00000051696.1)
Source: RNAcentral
AUGGAACGUCACAGAGUGCUCUUACACGAACCUAGAUGGUAGCGCCCACUACACACCAGGCUCUACGGUGUAGCCUAUUGCUCCCAGGCUACAAACCUGAACAGCAUGUUACUGUACUGAAUACUGCAGGCAAUUGUUACACAACGUGUCCUUUGCCCUUGUGCUCCUGUUCCAGCUUCAGUGACUCCUCAUUAGUCAAUUCCUCAGACACCACCUCUAGGAGCUCCUCAAUAUCAUACUUAUCCACACCUAGGUUCAAGUCGUUUGCCGUCUCAACUACAGCCUUGUUGAUUUUUGAAACUUCAUCCUUAAAAAAUCCUUUGAAGUCAUGGACGAACCUCUUGAGUGUCUUCUUCCAGAUGCCAUUCACAGACUCCUUGGUGACAUCACCUUAAGUCUAAGCAAGAGAUUGCAAAUCUACAUUAAUGAGUUUCUAGAGAAGAGUGUGAAGAUCGUGGUUCAUCUAUUCUCUGGCAAAUUUCUGUCAAAUCACCACUGUGCUCCAUAUGUGCUCUUCCUUACAUCAUUUUCCAUCUCAAAGGAAUUUUUUAAAUUCUACAUAGAAGAGUUAACAUCACUCUUUAUAAUAGCUGUGAAAUGCCAUGCUAAUCUUCAAUCACAGUUUUCACUGUCUUGAAAAGUCUUGGAUUUAAAAAGUCAAUUAAAUGAAAGUAAAUAAAUGAUUGAAAACAAAUCUAUCAACUCUACUGGGAAAAAAAAUUAAAAAUAUAUACGUUGCUAUCAGUAAUUACUUUAAAUGUAAAAUGAUUAAAUUCUUUAAUCAAAACAUAGGUAUUGGAGGAACAGAUUUGAAAACAUGAUCCAACUAUUUACUGUCUACAGGGAUUCGUCUUAGAUCCAAAGACACAAAUAAGUUGAAAGUGAAACACAAC